UUGCAUUAUACUCUUAUUAAGUUUAUUAAUCAAUGAAUAUUCAAAACAUAAGUUUCAUCUAUACAGAUGAACUUCAAUCAACAUUCAGCACAAUGUACAAUCAAAUAAAAGUUUAUAAUUUGUUACAAUUUCAAAUUAAACAUAAAUUAUGCACAUCAACCCCAGUUUCUUUUCAAGUUUGACUUUCUAUAAAUUUAAUACCUAUGAACAUUUUUAUUUGCAUACAGAAUUCUUAGAAGUAUCAGUAGGUAGGAGAUACAUUAAUUUAAAAUGUAAUAAGUUUUUCAAUUUAUUAUCUUUUCAAAUAAAAUAAAAAUGUGUGUUCAUUUGUAAAUGUUUGAAAAUGUAACAUGUCAACUUAAAUGAUGUUUCAAAUUCAAAUAACUUAUUUAUUACCACAGAUCUAAAAUGCAGAAUUUCAGAAUUCAUCAAAUUCUGAAUACUUUCACCAUUAAGGUUGGUAUAAAAAAAUAAGCCAUUACUAUGUAAUUGAGGGGGCGUGCAAAAGAAACAAUUAAUUUUAAUACAUAUUUAUACAGAUCAUCUCUAAAUUCAAAAAUACUACAACUACAGGAUUGUUUGACAACCUUGAAUAUAAAUAAAGAUAAUGUAAUCAGCAUAAAAUACCGCCUUGAUUACAUAUAUACCAAACAUAUUCUGAUAAAUAAAAAAAUAUUAAAGGGACACAACUCCUGAAAACAACAUAUAUUUAAUUUAAAAGUAAUAAUCUAAAAUUAAGGGAUAAUUUGCAUCAGCAAAUAUAAGUUAGCAUCAAUUGUUAGGAACAUUAAUCUCUAUUAAGGGACAAAUCUAUCAGUCAGUGAUAAUACUAAAAUGAGCCACUUUAAUUUACUAUUUCAGAUAAAUAAUUUAGAAGUAGAGUUAUCUCCCUUAGUCAUUUGAUUUUGAAAUAAGAACUAAUUUAAGUAAAAAAGUCAUAUUGUUUGGUUUUACAAAAUGUAUCUUGAAUUUCUGCAAACUAAAUUUCUCUAAUACAGUGUUAAAUUGUCCGUCUUCAAAAAUUAUCUUUACAAUUCAUAAAAAAAAAAGAGGAAGACUUUUUUUGUGCACAG
This 1073-nucleotide long non-coding RNA is filed under the name Mytilus galloprovincialis (Mediterranean mussel). Lineage: Eukaryota; Metazoa; Mollusca; Bivalvia; Mytilida; Mytilidae. The record is from RNAcentral.